Molecule: long non-coding RNA, 942 nt
Filed under: Falco tinnunculus (common kestrel)
Lineage: Eukaryota; Metazoa; Chordata; Aves; Falconiformes; Falconidae
Description: lncRNA (ENSFTIG00000000245.1)
Source: RNAcentral
CGGCUGCCCGCGCCAGGCCCGGGAGGCUGCCGCGCCUGCGCCCCCCGCGCUUCCUCUAGGCGGCAGCGCUGAGGCAUGGAGGGUGCUGUGGGGGCUUGGGCCGGGGGCGAGAGGGGCAGCGCUGCCCCCCCGCCUGGCCUCCGCAGGGACGACCACUGCUGUAACAGCCCCUUCUGUGCAGAGCUGAAGCUGAUGUUCAUGGACAGAUGUAACCUCCAAUGUCAUCAGCUGCGUCACUUGUAAAUGCCAUGGCACCUUCCCAGAGCUGGGAUGAACAAAGUCUCUUUCCUGGUAAUGGGCUGUCAUUGCCCCAGGGUUUCCACCUGCUGCCGCAGCCAUGCUCUCUGAGCCCACACAGCUCCCAUCUUCCCACCACUUCUACUGUGCUCACGGAGCUGUGGGUGGCAGCAGUCAUUAGCUAUUUGAUUUGGACCCAUUCCUCAAAGAACUUCAGAAAAAAAAAAUAAAAUUUGUGACUCCUUUAGAGUGUGUUUCAGUUUUUAGAGCUGGGUUGCCUGCUGGGACCCUGGACUGGAAAUUAGGAAAUCUGGGACCAUUUUCCAAUAUUUCCCAGGCUUACUCAGUGAAUCUGGACACUUUACUUAACCAGUCAGUUCACAAUCUGUGAAUUAAGUAACUUCCACCAUCAUUCUUCAUAUUGUCUGGUCUGCUCAGGGUGUAAAGGGGCUGAGACAUUCCUUUGUUAUUACCUUACGCAGCCUACAGAGAGAGCAGCGAAGCCCUGAGCUUGGCCAGAGUCUCCAGCUGCUUCAGAAAUAGUCACUGGGCAUAAAAUGGACACGUUUUCCUUCCAGACAGCGCCAGGCUGAGGGCAGAGAAGUGAAGUGUUUUCCUCUAGCUGAAAAUAGGAGAUGGUGUGUGUUUUGGGCCAUCCUUGCUUUGUCUUCCCAGUGUUUGUUCCUCUGUGAAUGUCUUCUGGGA